AGUAUGACACUCAGACUCCUUCCUGUUGCCUGCAGAUCAAGAUGUAGCUCUUUCAGCUCCUUCUCCAGCACCAUGUCUGACUGCAGGCCAUCAUGUCCCACCACGAUGUUCAUGAACUAAACCUCCGAAAGGCUAUGCUGCAGCUGUUACAUCUGGGUGUUGUUCUGAACAUUUGGGGUACAGCAAGAGCAAAACUAUGGCAGAUCCCUGUGUUCAUGGAGCUCACAUGAGGGCUAACUGCUGAACUACAAAUGCCAGGCUUAGCUUCUAAAGCUGCAGGCUGGAAAAGCCACACCUCGAAGCAUUGGCCAAGGCCAGGUUUGUUAUGGUUUUCUUUGAUUCAAGAUGUGCUUUUUCCAUUUGCAACUCCUAAGUCCUGGACAACUUUUAUUCUUGGCUUUCCUGUUUUCUCAAGACUCUGAAAGGCAAACUGAAGAUGAUGAACGAUUAGAACAGAGUCCACCCCGUCCGUGAUGGUUUUGGAGGACAACUGGCAAAAAGACAGUGAGAACUAACCCAGAUUCUCGUGUAAAGCUGGGAACAGCACACAAAGAGGCCGUGGUGUCUCCCUCAGAGGGAGCCUGUGAAGAAAAGCUAAGCUCGCCUUGUGGUUGUGGGGCCAGGUUUGUUUGUUCGCCUCUACCAAGCUGCAGCCACAUCUGCUUUCCACUAACGUGGGGGAAGCGAGCUGUCCCCUUGGACCUCUGAACAUCUUAACGUGAUGCCUGUGGCCCUCACAUUGUUUCCUGGAGGAGUUAGUGUUUGUGUGUUCCUUUCCCGAAGAAAGGGUUUAGUAUGUUUCUUUAUUUCUGCAAAAUUCAAUUGAACAAAACUGUCCGUGGCUUUUCUCAAACUUUGAAACUGUCCCAGAUUUGGACACAGUGUUUAUUUGUGCUGUUGUGAGACAGGAUGGAUCUGAAAGGCCAAAAGACACCUGAACUUUUGACUCUACUCUUAGGCUCAGGCAGCCGAGUGUGCAUUGUUCUAUCUUAAAAAUGGAAAACAAGGAACUAUUCAUAUCUUGUUUUCAGAGCCUUUCCCCCUCUUGGAGACUGUGCCCCCACCAAGUGCCUCCAAACACCCCAGGAAACCACCGCAUCAUUGUGAAAAGACUAAUCGCCACACACCACUUGGUUUUCCUUCCUGGACGUCAUGGGCCAGAACCCUGUGGUUCCCACGUUGUUUCUGUCAUCGCUCCCCAGGAGUGUUAGCUGUUAUGCUGAGCCCGGGUGGGACAGCCUGUCUCAACUCCAGCCCUUAUGUAAGUGGCUGUGGAAGAACUGGCAAUAACUAAACAUUUUUCUA
Molecule: long non-coding RNA, 1305 nt
Organism: Mesocricetus auratus (golden hamster)
Lineage: Eukaryota; Metazoa; Chordata; Mammalia; Rodentia; Cricetidae
Exons: 4
Source: RefSeq, a predicted model, not a curated record